This 1002-nucleotide ribosomal RNA is filed under the name uncultured bacterium. Its description in RNAcentral is "bacterial SSU rRNA". It matches the Rfam family "Bacterial small subunit ribosomal RNA", at positions 54 to 1092 of the family's 1533-position model. The record is from RNAcentral.
CAUGCAAGUCGAACGCCUGUAGCAAUACAGGAGUGGCGAAAGGGCGAGGAAUAGAUUCCUACAUACCUCGAGGUCGGGGAUACCCCGGAGAAAUCCGGAUCAAUACCCGAUGUGGUCGAGAGAUCAAAGGUUUACCGCCUUGAGAGUGGGGAAUCUCCUAUCAGCUAGUUGGUGAGGUAACGGCUCACCAAGGCAAAGACGGGUAGCGGGUGUGAGAGCACGGCCCGCCGCAUCGAGACUGAGACACUGCUCGGACUCCUACGGGAGGCUGCAGUAACGAAUCUUCCGCAAUGCGCGAAAGCGUGACGGGGCAAUGCCGCGUGCAGGAUGAAGCCCUUCGGGGUGUAAACUGCUGUCAGGGUGCAGGAAUGAAAUGACCAUACCCAAAGGAAGCACCGGCUAACUCUGUGCCAGCAGCCGCGGUAAUACAGAGGGUGCGAGCGUUAAUCGGAAUCACUGGGCUUAAAGGGUGCGUAGGCGGAUGCAUAGGCGCUUUGUGAAAUCCCACGGCUCAACCGUGGAAUUGCUUGGCGAACCAUGCGUCUUGAGGUUGGUAGAGGUCACUGGAACGAUAGGUGGAGCGGUGAAAUGCGUAGAUAUCUAUCGGAACGCCAACGGUGAAGACAGGUGACUGGGCCAAAUCUGACGCUGAGGCACGAAAGCGUGGGGAGCAAACGGGAUUAGAUACCCCGGUAGUCCACGCCGUAAACGAUGCACACUUGGUCGGAGCGGUUUGACUCCGUUUCGGCCGUAGGAAAACUGAUGAGUGUGCCGCCUGGGGAGUACGGUCGCAAGAUUAAAACUCAAAGGAAUUGACGGGGGCUCACACAAGCGGUGGAGCAUGUGGCUUAAUUCGAAGCAACGCGAAGAACCUUACCUAGGCUUGACAUGCACGGAUAAACCCCUAUGAAAGUAGGGGUACACCCGCAAGGGCGGAACGUGCACAGGUGCUGCAUGGCUGUCGUCAGCUCGUGCUGUGAAGUGUCGGGUUAAGUCCCUCAA